AUGCUCCCCUCCUCUGCACGUCAUCGCCUGAAGGUCACCGUUGCCGCCGCCGAUUUACUCCCCAUUCCCCUCCACCAACGAUGUCCAAUGUGUCCGUCUCCAGGGAUCCAACUAUGGAUGUCGCUUUGUUUCCUUCCUUUUCUGAUCAUCUCGUCCACAACGCAGCGGUGGCCGCGGUGCGGACAAUCGGUGGAAAGUAGGUAG
RNAcentral lists this ribosomal RNA (204 nucleotides) under Triticum aestivum (bread wheat). RNAcentral's name for it is "partial small subunit ribosomal RNA". Lineage: Eukaryota; Viridiplantae; Streptophyta; Magnoliopsida; Poales; Poaceae. The record is from RNAcentral.